Molecule: ribosomal RNA, 497 nt
Filed under: uncultured bacterium
Lineage: Bacteria
Description: partial 16S ribosomal RNA
Rfam family: Bacterial small subunit ribosomal RNA
Source: RNAcentral
GAUGAACGCUGGCGGCGUGCCUAAUACAUGCAAGUCGAGCGAACAGACGAGGAGCUUGCUCCUCUGACGUUAGCGGCGGACGGGUGAGUAACACGUGGAUAACCUACCUAUAAGACUGGGAUAACUUCGGGAAACCGGAGCUAAUACCGGAUAAUAUAUUGAACCGCAUGGUUCAAUAGUGAAAGACGGUUUUGCUGUCACUUAUAGAUGGAUCCGCGCCGCAUUAGCUAGUUGGUAAGGUAACGGCUUACCAAGGCAACGAUGCGUAGCCGACCUGAGAGGGUGAUCGGCCACACUGGAACUGAGACACGGUCCAGACUCCUACGGGAGGCAGCAGUAGGGAAUCUUCCGCAAUGGGCGAAAGCUUGACGGAGCAACGCCGCGUGAGUGAUGAAGGUCUUCGGAUCGUAAAGCUCUGUUAUUAGGAAAGAACAAAUGUGUAAGUAACUAUGCACGUCUUGACGGUACCUAAUCAGAAAGCCCCGGCUAACUACGUG